GUACCAUAGUAUUUCAUGUGAAUUUUCGGCUGCCGAACCGAUGAAGUACGUGCGUACUUCAUCGGUUAUUAAUGAUAGCCAGGGCUCCAUAUUUCUCGGUUUGUAUGGUUUUGAUUUACGACAGUGACAAAUUGACUAAUUGGCACCUUGUGUUUCAAGGCCGUUGGGCGGUGGUGGCGGGGGUGGUGAUGUGAAUUGCCGCCACCCCUCAGUGUGAUUUGACAGUGACACGCGUUGCGUCAUGGCGUCUUUGUUUUCCUCCAGCAGUGAUUCUGAGAGUUAUACCACUUUUGACGAUGACUUGCAAGGAUCAAACGAUAUUCCAACACAAUCAGAAGGCCUCGCAAGUGAUUCAUUUACAUUAACUACCUACACGAAAUUAUGAGAAGCGCUCGAAAAACUCGGUCCGGGGGAAGGGGGUUGGUACGCGUCGGGAUCAUGGAGUCGGUAACGAAGGGGUUAAUCAUCUGUGGCCUUUCAAACGAAUAAAAAUCCUGGAACACACACACACACACACACACACACACACACACACACACACACACACACACACACACACACACACGAGUGGUCAUGUGUGUGUGAGAAGGAUCCGGGUCAAAUGUCAAGCAGGCUGAGGUGAGCAGUCUUGAAGCAGAGGAAAGGAUCCAAGUGACUGCAGAACAAAACAAGAAGCAAGAACAAUUAAGAUGAACACUAGCCACACCAAAGAACUGUUACUGCUGGCACCACCACCACCAUCACCACCACCACACACACACACACACACACACACACACACACGAGUGGUCAUGUGUGUGUGUGAGAAGGAUCCGGGUCAAAUGUCAAGCAGGGUGAGGUGAGCAGUCUUGAAGCAGAGGAAAGGAUCCAAGUGACUGCAGAUACCUUGGAAGGAAGGUGAUGGUGAGGAACAGUGAAGAAAGAUGACGGAGCAGAAACAGGCCCACACCAUCCUGGAAUGUGCUGCAAAUAAUCUUGGUUACCGGCAAAGUAAAGAGAUAAAGAGAUAGAUAGAUACAGAGAUAGAUAAUUAUUAGUAAGAGUGAGAUUAAGAUAGAUAGAUAAUUAUUAUUAAGAGUGUUAGUUAGAUAGAUAUAUACAGAGAUAGAUAAUUAUUAGUAAGAGUGAGAUUAAGAUAGAUAAUUAUUAUUAAGAGUGCUAGAUUAUUAUAUUCUUAUUAUAUUAUUAUUUUAUUUGUGUGUGGUGUGUGUGUGUGUGUUCUCUUUUCAGAAGUGUGUUUGGAAUGCAAGAAAUAUACAAGACCACAGAAGAUUCUAUAGUGGUGGUGGUGGUAGUAGUAGUAGUAAUAGUAGUAGUAGUAGUAGUACUUUAUCAAUAUACAGGGCAUUA
Long non-coding RNA from Scylla paramamosain (green mud crab), 1350 nucleotides. RefSeq lists it as uncharacterized. The transcript has 3 exons. Lineage: Eukaryota; Metazoa; Arthropoda; Malacostraca; Decapoda; Portunidae. The record is from RefSeq and is a predicted model, not a curated record.